Molecule: ribosomal RNA, 315 nt
Filed under: uncultured bacterium
Lineage: Bacteria
Description: bacterial SSU rRNA
Rfam family: Bacterial small subunit ribosomal RNA
Source: RNAcentral
GAUGAACGCUAGCGAUAGGCUUAACACAUGCAAGUCGAGGGGCAGCAUGGUCUUAGCUUGCUAAGGCUGAUGGCGACCGGCGUAAGGGUGCGUAACGCGUAUGUAACUUGCCUUUGAGAGGGGGAUAACCCGGAGAAAUCCGGCCUAAUACCGCGUAUUCUCAAGUUGCUGCAUGGCAGUUUGAGGAAAGAUUUUAUUGCUCAGAGAUAGGCAUGCGUUCCAUUAGGUAGUUGGUGAGGUAACGGCUCACCAAGCCGACGAUGGAUAGGGGAGCUGAGAGGCUGACCCCCCACACUGGGCUGAGACACGGCCCAG